RNAcentral lists this long non-coding RNA (1564 nucleotides) under Homalodisca vitripennis (glassy-winged sharpshooter). RNAcentral's name for it is "uncharacterized LOC124360270". Lineage: Eukaryota; Metazoa; Arthropoda; Insecta; Hemiptera; Cicadellidae. The record is from RNAcentral.
ACACAAUUGAAAAGAACAGAUGUUUUAUCUUAGUUUUAUUUUCAAAGUAAGAACAAUUAGUUUCCUGAUUUCACUUUUAUAAUGCUCGCCUAAUUUCAAUAAAUCUGUUUUUAUUGCUUGAAAUAUUAAUUAUUUCAAUAAACAAAGAAUGCUGGAGUAAACUGUAGGAAACAUUAUUGCGCAGUUAGAACAAAAAUAUUAUUUUCGAGAAUCAAUUAUGUUAAUGUUUCCAACACAAAUUGUUGGGUUAUAUGAGAAAAUUGUUGUGAUCCACACAUAAGGUCCAUCCAAACAGCAUGAAUGAUGUUAUGUUCCAACACCAAUUGUUGGGUUAUAUGAGAAAAUUGUUGUGAUCCACAAAUGAGGUCUGUCCAAACAGCAUGAAUGAUGCUAUGUUCCAACACCAAUUGUUGGGUUAUAUGAGAAAAUUGUUGUGAUCCACACAUGAGGUCCGUCCAAACAGCAUGAAUGAUGCUAUGUUCCAACACCAAUUGUUGGGUUAUAUGAGAAAAUUGUUGUGAUCCACACAUGAGGUCCGUCCAAACAGCAUGAAUGAUGCUAUGUUCCAACACCAAUUGUUGGGUUGUACGAGAAAAUUGAUUCAUGCAAGUGUGGAGUAGUGUAACACCACCUUUUCCGACCUGAACUAUAAAUAUGUGGUAGAAUCCAUUUCUGCAGUAAAUUUGAGGCGUAGCAAUGUUGCUGAUACCAGAUUUUCCCUCUUGGAUUAAAUUUAUGUAUUCCUCUAAUAUGGUUCAUUCGAACUGUGAGGAUAGGACAGUUGUGAAAAUGCAACUGUAAAGGAUUACAUUUUGCAAGUGAGUAAUGAUUCUUGUUCUGGUUUAAUUUAAAAUGUACAUUUUAAAAUGAUUUGUGUACACUAUAAUCAACAUUUUCUCUCUGAUUAGGACUGACCGGUGUAGCCAAAGCCUGAAACAGUAAUGCAGCUAUAUUGGAAACAGUUAUAGGUUAGUAACUGUUUAAUUCUAAUGAUAUUCAUCCAGCAAGGUGUAAUAACAAGAAAGGUUAACAUAAUUGAUAUAAAUAAAUCAAUAUGUCUACAUUUUUAAAAUAAUUAUAAAAAUAUGCAGUAGAAUUUAAGAUGAGAUUUAUGCAGGUAGUGAGUUUAUAAUAACACUAAAUUUGAAAUUAUUGUGUAUUAUGUACUAUUGUGGCAAUGUGUCACAGAAUGAAUGUAGCUGAUCAUAGCUGCAAGUAUUGUGAAAGUGUCCUCAUUAUAAGGUGUCAUUACUAAACCUAUAGCUGUAUUGCGUCAUUCAGUGAAGUGAAUAAAAACAAAUAUAAGCUUUUAGCUACGAUAUAAAGAGUAAUUGCUUGUUAAUAAUAGAAUACUCACUAGUUAAUAAAGUAUUCAUUCAAAAUACCGCAAAAAUAAGGCGAUUGAAAAAAGUAUAUAUUGUGGAUUUACAAGUCAACUCUAUGCCAUGCUUGAGCAUUUUACUUCACCUACGUAGCAGGGCAGCAACUACAAAUUCAGCUUCAAUCUUACUAGAGGUGGCAGGCUAUAUGUAUCUUAAUGCUCCUGAACACCAUGACUGUGUUG